AAAAAUACAGGUAAUGGUGUUCUUUGCUUAUGAACACUGUUAAUUGGACUUCAUAUAAAGUGAUUUAAUUUUCCCUUUUUGACUUGAAAUAAUGAUCUUCAGUAGGAUUUUUCUGAAGAGAGGAUGUGAAACUGAAUUUCAGAAUGUGUGCCCUUUGGCAAGUCACUUAACUGCUUUGAUCCUCCAUUCCCUUACCAUGAGGGAGUUGAACUGGAUAACUUCAAACCCCUUCCAGGUCUAGAUCUGUGGCAUUGUAAAUUUAAUUAAACCCUUAUUAAAAACCUACUAUGUUCAUGUCAUUGUGUUAGGGCUGACCAUACGAAUACACAAAGGUAACAAUUACUGCCCUCAAAGAGUUUAUGUUCUAUUUGGCCACAAGUAUCUUUCCCACCACUGAAUUCACGCAUAGUUACAUCGGAUAUCCCAGCCAUAUACAAUUUUGUAGUGAAAACGCUAUCAAUACUGUGAUUACCUUUUAUAAUUUUUUUCUCCUUCCUAUCUUCUGAGCAGCCACUGUACUUGAGAGGACUAUUCCAAAAUCAAGAAAUGGAACACUCUGAGCAAAGGAAUAAGAAUUAAGUCAAGCCAGCAAGCAUUUAUUAUGGCCUUUCUAUGUGCCAGUCAUGUUGCUAAGCGCUGGCAAUACAAAUACUAGCAGAAAAACAGACCUGCCCUCAAGGAGCUUACAUUCUAAUGGGGUAAAAGAGAACAAUAAAAAAAAACUGGAGAGUAAGAAGUUGGGAAAGAGGAAGCUUUAUUCAAUUUUGAGUUUUCUCCAGAAUCAGGUUCCAGGAGUCAGCAAGUUCUCUUAACUGAAAUUUCCCACGCUGGUCUAAGGAUUCAAGAUCCUAUAAAGGUCCCAGAGAGUUGGCAGCCACAGCCCUGCUCCACCCGCCAUUUUGGAAGAUUCACUCUUCUUGCUUUUUACCUUUUGUCAAAUCUUGCCUACAAUACAAGUAUCUCUUUCACUUAUCUGCCAAUUAGUGGGGGUUGAAGAACUUCCCCCUCCUCUUUGGGGAAACUGCUAAAUCCCAUCUGUUCUGUGAAGUGGUCCAGAGACAAGAAAUGAGUGACCAUCUUUUACAUUGUCCUCAUCCAUUAAACCUUUAAUUUAUUUUUUAAAA
Molecule: long non-coding RNA, 1124 nt
Filed under: Monodelphis domestica (gray short-tailed opossum)
Lineage: Eukaryota; Metazoa; Chordata; Mammalia; Didelphimorphia; Didelphidae
Description: lncRNA (ENSMODG00000047064.1)
Source: RNAcentral